RNAcentral lists this ribosomal RNA (497 nucleotides) under uncultured bacterium. Its description in RNAcentral is "partial 16S ribosomal RNA". It matches the Rfam family "Bacterial small subunit ribosomal RNA", at positions 28 to 507 of the family's 1533-position model. The record is from RNAcentral.
GAUGAACGCUGGCGGCGUGCCUAAUACAUGCAAGUCGAGCGAACGGACGAGAAGCUUGCUUCUCUGAUGUUAGCGGCGGACGGGUGAGUAACACGUGGAUAACCUACCUAUAAGACUGGGAUAACUUCGGGAAACCGGAGCUAAUACCGGAUAAUAUUUUGAACCGCAUGGUUCAAAAGUAAAAGACGGUCUUGCUGUCACUUAUAGAUGGAUCCGCGCUGCAUUAGCUAGUUGGUAAGGUAACGGCUUACCAAGGCAACGAUGCAUAGCCGACCUGAGAGGGUGAUCGGCCACACUGGAACUGAGACACGGUCCAGACUCCUACGGGAGGCAGCAGUAGGGAAUCUUCCGCAAUGGGCGAAAGCCUGACGGAGCAACGCCGCGUGAGUGAUGAAGGUCUUCGGAUCGUAAAACUCUGUUAUUAGGGAAGAACAUAUGUGUAAGUAACUGUGAACAUCUUGACGGUACCUAAUCAGAAAGCCACGGCUAACUACGUG